GAUGAACGCUGGCGGCGUGCCUAAUACAUGCAAGUCGAGCGAACAGACGAGGAGCUUGCUCCUCUGACGUUAGCGGCGGACGGGUGAGUAACACGUGGAUAACCUACCUAUAAGACUGGGAUAACUUCGGGAAACCGGAGCUAAUACCGGAUAAUAUAUUGAACCGCAUGGUUCAAUAGUGAAAGACGGUUUUGCUGUCACUUAUAGAUGGAUCCGCGCCGCAUUAGCUAGUUGGUAAGGUAACGGCUUACCAAGGCAACGAUGCGUAGCCGACCUGAGAGGGUGAGCGGCCACACUGGAAGUGAGACACGGACGAGACUCCUACGGAAGGCAGCAGUAGGGAAUCUUCGGCAAUGGGCGAAAGCCUGACGGAGCAACGCCGCGUCAGUGAUGAAGGUCUUAGGAUCGUAAAACUCUGUUAGUAGGGAAGAACAAAUGUGUAAGUAACUAUGCACGGCUUGACGGUACCUAAUCAGAAAGCCACGGAUAACUCCGUG
Molecule: ribosomal RNA, 497 nt
Filed under: uncultured bacterium
Lineage: Bacteria
Description: partial 16S ribosomal RNA
Rfam family: Bacterial small subunit ribosomal RNA
Source: RNAcentral